Molecule: long non-coding RNA, 295 nt
Filed under: Sorghum bicolor (sorghum)
Lineage: Eukaryota; Viridiplantae; Streptophyta; Magnoliopsida; Poales; Poaceae
Description: long non-coding RNA (SBIC_LNC013754)
Source: RNAcentral
CCUCUCCAUAAAGAGAAACCAAAACUCGAGGCUCGAAUUUGAUAAUGGGUUAGCGGUCAGCCAAAAAGUAAUUGAUCUUCAUUAUGAGCUAGUUUUAAUGUUAGAAAUUUAUUUAUCCUCUAACCUUGGGCACAAUAAGAUUGAUAUUUUCAUAUUGUUCAUUCCUAUCAUGGGUGAGAGGACCAGAAGUAUACAUAUGAUAUUUAAACUUGUGAGAUAAAGAGUAAAGUUACUUAACCAUUAGAAAGGCUAUUCAUCUUUGUAAUAUAUAAAGAAUAAUAGAUGAAGUAUUUCU